This 424-nucleotide ribosomal RNA is filed under the name uncultured bacterium. Its description in RNAcentral is "partial 16S ribosomal RNA". It matches the Rfam family "Bacterial small subunit ribosomal RNA", at positions 360 to 776 of the family's 1533-position model. The record is from RNAcentral.
AAUUUUGGACAAUGGGGGAAACCCUGAUCCAGCCAUGCCGCGUGUGUGAAGAAGGUCUUCGGAUUGUAAAGCACUUUAAGUUGGGAGGAAGGGUUGUAGGUUAAUACCCUGCAAUUUUGACGUUACCAACAGAUUAAGCACCGGCUAACUUAGUGCCAGCAGCCGCUGUAAUACGAAGGGUGCAAGCCUUAAUCGGAAUUACUGGGCGUAAAUCGCGCGUAGGUUGUUCGUUAAGUUGGAAGUGAAAGCCCCGGGCUUAACCUGGGAAUUGCUUUCAAAACUGACGAGCUAGAGUACGGUAGAGGGUAGUGGAAUUUCCUGUGUAGCGGUGAAAUGCGUAGAUAUAGGAAGGAACAUCAGUGGCGAAGGCGACUACCUGGACUGAUACUGACACUGAGGUGCGAAAGCGUGGGGAGCAAACAGG